Alligator sinensis (Chinese alligator) is the source of this 1402-nucleotide long non-coding RNA. RefSeq lists it as uncharacterized. Lineage: Eukaryota; Metazoa; Chordata; Crocodylia; Alligatoridae. The record is from RefSeq and is a predicted model, not a curated record. The transcript has 3 exons.
UCUGCAUGACUCAAGGCCUGUGUGAACAGCUAGAAGAGAGUUUUGUGAGGCUGUCUUAUACCAGGGAUUUACUUUUUCCACAUCAAGACAGAACAACUGAGCUUUUGAGGUUGAGGUGAUCCCAUUUCUAGCAACUAGCACCACUUCAUAAUGCUGUCACUGAACUCAUACAGAAAAGUGUUUCAGAAAGGCCUAUUGAAGCUGUCUGGGAGAAACCGAUGUCACACACUAUGAAGAUUUGGUGGUGAAACAGGCACGUGGAGUUGAUUGAACUCAUUUGCUCAUGUUACCAACUAGGCAAUGGCAGAAUCUGAGCACUCAGACUUCUGAAAACCAGGAACCGAAUGCUUCACGUAGUGCCCACACAACUUGACCGCCAAUGGACAUAGGGUAAUGCUUACAUCUUCAGAUGUUUCAAGUGUCUGGGACCCCAAAUCUUGAACGUUUUAAUACAUGGUUGUUACUUUAAGUGGUUGAGAGAAAGCUGGACUGUCUCUCUCCUUCAGCUCCUUCCCCUUCCAUUCUUUGCACUAUAAUUUCCCCUGAUACUUUCAGAUGAGCCUUUGCUUUUUGUCCCAUUAAGGCAGUAGUACGGUAGAAGACUUCAAAAGUUAAAACCUUGCCCUUUGCUACCUGGCAUACUCUAUUGCUGCAUACACAGUCUGUUAGAGGGUUGAACACUUACUUCCCUGAUCAAAGUCCCCUUCUCCCCCACCUCCUGCAUGUGCCUCUUCUCCAUCAUCUCCACUUAGCUACAGUCCCAAACACUCUCACUUUAUAUUCCUCACUCAUUCAGCCCCUCAUUUCUUUCCCUUUUACUCCUAACAAGGGUAGAACUGAAACCAGUAUUGAACCUCACCAAAUCUCUACAAAAGGUCCAGCAUCUUUCCCCUGUUGCCACCACAGUCACUUGGGUGGAUGCUGUCUAGAAAUCCUUGUGGUUAAUCUGUGCUUCAAUGUGAAUGCUAAUUGAUUGCUGCACAUAACUUUUCUGAGAUGCUGAGACCAGAACUGCACACAAUAUUCAAGACAUUGGCGCACAAUUGAUUUCUAUAGUGGCAUGAUGAUGUUUUUCAUUUUGUUUUCAAUUCCCUUCUUAAUGAGGCCUAACACUAUGAUGGCUUUUUUUGGUUACCACUGCACACUGAGCUGAUGUUUUUUUGACAACUAUAAAUAAUAAGUCUCGGGUCUCUUUCCUGAGUCAUAACAGCUGACACACCAGUCCGAUUUUCAGACUGCUGGUGAGCCACAUGCUCAAUAUCUGUCUCAGUUUGGCAACCAAAAAUUAAGGCACUCAAAAAUCACUUGUAAUCUCUGAAGGUGUCAGUCAUUAUAGUUGUCAUGUUAUUUUUUGCAUCCUUUUUUGUCCAUGCAUUUGAUCUGUUUCUUAGUACUCCUCUCU